This is a long non-coding RNA of Quercus robur (English oak), 1068 nucleotides long. RefSeq lists it as uncharacterized. The transcript has 3 exons. NCBI's taxonomy places the organism in Eukaryota, Viridiplantae, Streptophyta, Magnoliopsida, Fagales, Fagaceae. The record is from RefSeq and is a predicted model, not a curated record.
CUAGGCUUACUGAGAACCUUUAAAAUAAGUCAACGUAUAACCCUUGAAAUAAGUGCUGAAAAAAAAUGGCGGGCACACCAAUGUGAGUUUUCACUCUAAAAUUUGUAGAUUUCCCAGUACCCCUCGAAAAAAUACUGUAAAACAUAAAGACUGAUUUAUUUCUAAGCAAGACUCAAAAAUUUUGUAUGAAAAUUUCACAUUUUCGUUCUCAAAGUAUUUAGGUCCUCCCUGGCUUAUUCUCUUUCAUUUAUUUUUCCUCUUUUUCCUUUGAUUGCUCUUUCUCUCUCUUGCGCUCUCUCUCGAAGUAGAUCGCGUUUUCUCUAUGUGCGAAGAUGAAUCACCAGAAUGUGAGGAAUCUCUGAUCGGAGGAAGGAAUUUUCCGACGAGGACAGCAGCGCCGACGAGAACUGUCAUACUCUCUCGGUUACCACCUCCGGCGAAUCUUCCGAUGCUGAGUAUUUUUACAAUUCAACAUUUCAACCAGCUAUAGAUGGAGUACUGAUGUUAUUGUUACAAUUCAAUUCAACAUUUCAAUCAUUUCAUAUAGUCAUGUAGAUUGGGCUCCCCACUUGCUGCUGAUAUUUGGUAGACAUAUUUUCAAGAAUCAACUAUGUUGAAACAAUCACCUAGUAGAAAUCAGAGGUUAAAAGGUUUCAAGGUGAAGCAUGCAAUACUGAUAUGUCUUUUGCUUGCCAUUUGCAUCUGGUUGCUUUACCAAGACAGACACUCCCAUGAAAGGUUUGUAGAUAUAUUUGCUGGGAAAUUAACAAACUUUUGGUAUCAUUCUCUCUUUUUCAGAAACUUGAGGGCACCCAUAAUGGCUGAAAUGUUCAAUUGUACUAGCUGAUAACUUCUUCCUUUGGAGAUGAUGAUGAAGAAUAAAAUGUAUCAAAACUUUUUACUCUUGGACAGAUUUGGUCUUUGUACAAAGUGUGGUUGUUGAUAUCUUUUCUCUUAAACAAUAAUUGACAAUAAUUUGUAGGUUGAGUUUAGAGAUCAAAGAAAGUGUAAUUGUAGCAAUAUACCACUUUUGCUAUACAUCAAUAUCAUAGCAUAUCAUCUCAACAA